UACAGAGGGUGCAAGCGUUAAUCGGAAUUACUGGGCGUAAAGCGUGCGUAGUCGGUUAUCUAAGUCGGGUGUGAAAUCCCCGGGCUCAACCUGGGAAUUGCAUUCGAUACUGGAUAGCUAGAGUUCGGCAGAGGGAAGCGGAAUUUCGGGUGUAGCGGUGAAAUGCGUAGAUACCCGAAGGAACAUCAGUGGCGAAAGCGGCUUCCUGGACCAGAACUGACGAUCAGGCACGAAAGCGUGGGGAGCAAACAGG
RNAcentral lists this ribosomal RNA (253 nucleotides) under uncultured bacterium. RNAcentral's name for it is "partial 16S ribosomal RNA". It matches the Rfam family "Bacterial small subunit ribosomal RNA", at positions 524 to 776 of the family's 1533-position model. The record is from RNAcentral.